AAAGAAAGAAAGAAAGAAAGAAUUCAAGCCAAAUGAGCAAUUAGCCCUUCGUGGAUGCCAGCCCACGAGGUGGAGCAUCACUUCCACUCCACUCACUGAUAAAGCAUUCAUCCAAACAUCGCUAGAAAUGUGUUCAACUGUCAAAACAAAUACCAAUCAGCUUUGUCUGUUCAAUCAGGUGGGCAUCAGACUUUAUCUGCACGCUCUCUCACCGGCAGGAUUAUUACCGCUGCUUGUCUUGCCUCCAUUUCAGCAAUCUAAUCAGCCAUUUGCCCUUUAACACGGAGACAGCAGGAGGAUUAGAAGUACCUUUGUGGCUUCACUCUUUGAUUCUCCACCAUUCGGAUCGGCACAGAGAGCCCAGUCAUCUUCUGACGGGAGAGAGAGCUGGAGGCUGACGUCAGCCGAGCAGGAAACCAACAAUUGGAGAUGUUGCUGUCUAAUUGCUGCAAUUUGCAGACGGGGCUGCGUUCGUAGAAACGACAGAAAGGGAGGGAUGGAACGAGGGAGACAGAGGAAGGUUGAUGGAGGGCAGGAGAGUCAGAGCGAGGCAGCACUUCCAGUUGACAAAAGGCUAGAAAGCAGAGACACAAAUUGCAUACAGUCAUGAGAGGAUUUGUAAUGAGAAGCAGUUUGUGACCAAGAUGAACUCACACAAACGGUCUAUGAAGAAUGCUGGAAGUCCACUUUCAUGGUGUGCGUGAUCAUCAAGAACAUGUUUGAAGAAUUCUUACUGUAGACUGGCUGUGGAUCGUUGCUAAAAUGGCGAUUCGAUUCAUGAAUCCAACCACAAUUCUUACUUUUUAAUAUGUUUUGCUAUGUGAAUGUCUAUUAAAUCACCAAAAUUUAUACUUUAUUUAGAACAGGAGAUCAAAAUCAACAAAACUGAUUCAGAUAGAAAGAAAUGUCAUUUUAAUUUUUUUUUUCUGUAAACCUUCUGGUUUAGUUCAGCAGUAAGAUAACAUAAAAAUGAUUUAAAAACCA
Molecule: long non-coding RNA, 984 nt
Organism: Oryzias melastigma (Indian medaka)
Lineage: Eukaryota; Metazoa; Chordata; Actinopteri; Beloniformes; Adrianichthyidae
Exons: 2
Source: RefSeq, a predicted model, not a curated record